GGUAGCGAAAUUCCUUGUCGGGUAAGUUCCGACCCGCACGAAAGGCGUAACGAUUUGGGCACUGUCUCAACGAGAGACUCGGUGAAAUCAUAGUACCUGUGAAGAUGCAGGUUACCCGCGACAGGACGGAAAGACCCCGUGGAGCUUUACUGUAGCCUGAUAUUGAAAUUCGGCACAGCUUGUACAGGAUAGGUAGGAGCCUUUGAAACGUGAGCGCUAGCUUACGUGGAGGCGCUGGUGGGAUACUACCCUAGCUGUGUUGGCUUUCUAACCCGCACCACUUAUCGUGGUGGGAGACAGUGUCAGGCGGGCAGUUUGACUGGGGCGGUCGCCUCCUAAAAGGUAACGGAGGCGCUCAAAGGUUCCCUCAGAAUGGUUGGAAAUCAUUCAUAGAGUGUAAAGGCAUAAGGGAGCUUGACUGCGAGACCUACAAGUCGAGCAGGGUCGAAAGACGGACUUAGUGAUCCGGUGGUUCCGCAUGGAAGGGCCAUCGCUCAACGGAUAAAAGCUACCCCGGGGAUAACAGGCUUAUCUCCCCCAAGAGUUCACAUCGACGGGGAGGUUUGGCACCUCGAUGUCGGCUCAUCGCAUCCUGGGGCUGUAGUCGGUCCCAAGGGUUGGGCUGUUCGCCCAUUAAAGCGGUACGCGAGCUGGGUUCAGAACGUCGUGAGACAGUUCGGUCCCUAUCCGUCGUGGGCGUAGGAAAUUUGAGAGGAGCUGUCCUUAGUACGAGAGGACCGGGAUGGACAUACCUCUGGUGUACCAGUUGUCGUGCCAACGGCAUAGCUGGGUAGCUAUGUGUGGACGGGAUAAGUGCUGAAAGCAUCUAAGCAUGAAGCCCCCCUCAAGAUGAGAUUUCCCAACUUCGGUUAUAAGAUCCCUCAAAGAUGAUGAGGUUAAUAGGUUCGAGGUGGAAGCAUGGUGAUAUGUGGAGCUGACGAAUACUAAUCGAUCGAAGACUUAAUCAA
This 968-nucleotide ribosomal RNA is filed under the name Staphylococcus aureus F82600. RNAcentral describes it as "bacterial LSU rRNA". It matches the Rfam family "Bacterial large subunit ribosomal RNA", at positions 1955 to 2925 of the family's 2925-position model. The record is from RNAcentral. Lineage: Bacteria; Bacillati; Bacillota; Bacilli; Caryophanales; Staphylococcaceae.